Molecule: long non-coding RNA, 342 nt
Organism: Drosophila miranda
Lineage: Eukaryota; Metazoa; Arthropoda; Insecta; Diptera; Drosophilidae
Exons: 3
Source: RefSeq, a predicted model, not a curated record
UCACUUUCAUUUUUUCACCCGGUCGAAGCGCGCGUUCGGAAGUCAGCUCCGCGUUUCAAUCCGAGAAAAGGCGGAAAAUGGUGAAAAAUCCAACGGGAAAAAUGGCAUGCAGCUAAAGAGAGAGGGCGUGAGAGAGCAAUUAGGAACAGAAGCAGGAGAUCAAAGAAUGAACGAAUUUGCACCGCUCCCUCUUUCAUUUUUUUACCCGGUCAUGAAAAUGCGGAAAAUGGUGAAAAUUCCAACGGGUUUAAGCCACGCAGGGCUAUGGCGCAGAAGCAGAACAAAUGGCGGCAAAAAUGCAGUUCAACGAAGGAAAAGUGCGGCAAUGUGUGAUAAAUUUGA